Molecule: RNase P RNA, 341 nt
Filed under: human gut metagenome
Description: Bacterial RNase P class A
Rfam family: Bacterial RNase P class A
About the family: Ribonuclease P (RNase P) is a ubiquitous endoribonuclease, found in archaea, bacteria and eukarya as well as chloroplasts and mitochondria. Its best characterised activity is the generation of mature 5'-ends of tRNAs by cleaving the 5'-leader elements of precursor-tRNAs.
Source: RNAcentral
AAGCUGAACGGCCGCGGGCACAGGGCGAAAGCCCGUGCGUGAGGAAAGUCCGGGCUCCACAGGGCGAGGAUAGCGGGUAACGCCCGCCGAAGGCGACUUCAGGACAAGUGCAACAGAGAGAUACCGCCGCGCAUUUCGCGCGGUAAGGGUGGAAAGGUGCGGUAAGAGCGCACCCGCCGGCUGGAGACAGUCCGGUGCUGUAAACUCUAUCCGGAGCAACACCGCGGAGGGGACGCAUGGCCGGCCCGGCCGUCCCCGGGGAGGUGGCUGGAGCGCGCCGGCAACGGCGCGCCUAGAUAGAUGGCCGUUUUGAACAGAACCCGGCUUACAGGCUUGCUUGC